UACGUAGGGUCCGAGCGUUGUCCGGAAUUAUUGGGCGUAAAGGGCUCGUAGGCGGUUUGUCGCGUCGGGCGUGAAAACUCAGGGCUCAACCCUGAGCGUGCUUCCGAUACGGGCAGACUAGAGGUAUGCAGGGGAGAACGGAAUUCCUGGUGUAGCGGUGGAAUGCGCAGAUAUCAGGAGGAACACCGGUGGCGAAGGCGGUUCCCUGGGCAUUACCUGACGCUGAGGAGCGAAAGCAUGGGGAGCGAACAGG
Molecule: ribosomal RNA, 253 nt
Filed under: uncultured bacterium
Lineage: Bacteria
Description: partial 16S ribosomal RNA
Rfam family: Bacterial small subunit ribosomal RNA
Source: RNAcentral